UGGGGUUGGGCCUCCAGGUGGCAGCCGGGCGGAACUGGUAGGGAGAGCGAGGGAGGGGCCGGGGCCAGGUAGAGCUGCCCUGCGGCGGGGCGAGGAGGGCCGAGAUGAGGUGCUGCCGCCUCUGCAGAUUCGACGCGGCCCGCGGCCCCCGGCGGCUUAUGCGCGUGGGCCUGGCGCUGAUCCUGGUGGGCCACGUGAACCUGCUCCUGGGGGCCGUGCUGCACGGCACCGUCCUACGACACGUGGCCAAUCCCCGCGGCGCCGUCACCCCGGAGUACACCACGGCCAAUGUCAUCUCCGUGGGCUCGGGGCUGCUGAGUGUUUCCGUGGGACUUGUGGCCCUCUUGGCAUCCAGGAACCUUCUGCGCCCAAGACUGCACUGGGCUCUCCUGGCACUAGCUCUGGUGAACCUCCUCUUGUCUGCUGCCUGCUCCCUGGGCAUCCUCCUUGCUGUGUCACUCACUGUGGCCAACGGUGGCCGCCGUCUUAUUGCUGACUGUCAUCCAGGGCUGCUGGAUCCUUUGCUACCGAUGGACAAGGGGUCUGGACGCACUGACUGCCCGUUUGACCCUACAAGAAUCUAUGAUACAGCCUUGGCUCUCUGGAUCCCUUCUUUGGUCAUGUCUGCAGGAGAGGCUGCUCUAUCUGGUUACUGCUGUGUGGCUGCACUCACCUUACGUGGGGUUGGGCCCUGCAGGAAGGAAGGGCUUCAGGAGCAGCUGGAGCAACUGACAGAUCUUGAACUUCCUAAGUGUAAAAGACAGGAAAAUGAACAGCUACUGGAUCAAAAUCAAGAAAUCCAGGCAUCACAGAAAAGCUGGGCUUAAGACAGAACUGCAUGGGACACUGCCAGGAGCCCACCUCACACACCCUCCUGGGUGUAGCUGGUACUGUUCCACCCCCUCUGUGGAAUCUACUUCUUCAGUCCCAGCACUCUACUUACUGCACUGUACUUCCUGAUUCCAGUCAGCUGGGGUCCCACAGCCCGAACUACUUCCAGACUGCGCUGAGGAGGCAGAAACUUGAUGGCGAGUUCAGCUGCCUGAGCGGUUGAACGGAAGAUGACAAUGGCUUUCAGGGAACCCAGUGAAGGAGGAGGAGAUCAGAGACCAAAGAAAGUGGCAACAGACGCUGAGAGGUGGGAUUCUCUGAUGAACGCUACCCCUCCCUCUACCUUGUGGGCUUGCUCCCAGCGGCCAGCCUGAGUGUACAUGUCGAUUGCAUCUUUUGUCCGGUCUCCUUUGAUGUAGAGCUCCUCGGCAAUCUGUGGUUGAGAGAGGUAGACACAAAAGGCCAAGAGCAACAGAGUUAAAGCAGCCUGUGAGGGAAGGAAAGAACAAGCCUCAGCUGGGAUGGAGGAGAGCUGGGGAUACUACUAUUGUAUAAUAACAGAGAAGAAAAGAUGACAAUGGGGGUCUCACACCUUCUACUGUUUUGAAAAAAAAACAAGACUAGCCCAAACCAGAAUGGGGAAGAUGGGAGCUUAAAAGGGCUGUCGGUUAAGCAUCCAACUCUUGAUUUCAGCUCUGGUCAUGAUCUCAUGGUUCGUGAGAUGAGCCCUGCAUCCGGCUCUGUGCUCCCAGCACGGAGCCUGCUUGGAAUUCUCUCUCUUCUCUUUCUGCCCCUCCCCUGCUCU
Felis catus (domestic cat) is the source of this 1636-nucleotide RNA transcript. It is a transcript of the gene named keratinocyte associated protein 3, with no coding region annotated. The record is from RefSeq and is a predicted model, not a curated record. The transcript is spliced from 8 exons. Lineage: Eukaryota; Metazoa; Chordata; Mammalia; Carnivora; Felidae.